GGAGGGCUGGCAGAGCGGUUGAAUGCACCAGUCUUGAAAACUGGCAAGGGUUCGCGCCCUUCGUGAGUUCGAAUCUCACGCCCUCCACCA
Molecule: transfer RNA, 90 nt
Filed under: Betaproteobacteria bacterium
Lineage: Bacteria; Pseudomonadati; Pseudomonadota; Betaproteobacteria
Description: tRNA-Ser
Rfam family: tRNA
About the family: Transfer RNA (tRNA) molecules are approximately 80 nucleotides in length. Their secondary structure includes four short double-helical elements and three loops (D, anti-codon, and T loops).
Source: RNAcentral